CAAGCAGCCGACUUCCGUCCGUUUUGCCCUACAAGAGCGCCAAUCGAGUGAACUGCGCAUGCGCAGCCCCGUGUCAUUAGCUUAGCCCAGUGUAGCUUAGCGUAGCCUUACAGAAGGAGCACAGUGCGGGAGUACAGUAAAGGUGCUGCUGGUUAGCUACAUGCUAUUUGAAGGAGAUUCGUGUUUGUUUUAGCUGGACACACGUCGUUAAGAAUGAGGAAGGACGUGAGGAUAUUACUAGUCGGGGAACCUAAAGUGGGGAAGACGUCGCUGAUCAUGUCGCUGGUCAGUGAAGAAUUCCCUGACGAGGUCCCGCUGCGUGCGGAGGAGAUCACCAUUCCUGCGGACGUCACCCCCGAGAGAGUGCCCACACACAUCGUGGAUUACUCGGAAGCAGAGCAGUCUGAUGAACAGCUGUACCAAGAGAUCUCUAAGGCGAACGUCAUUUGCAUAGUGUACUCGGUAAACAACAAAAAAUCUAUUGAGAAGGUGACGAGCCACUGGAUUCCCCUCAUCAACGACAGAACAGACAAGGACAGCAGAGUACCCCUGAUUCUUGUCGGGAAUAAGUCAGACCUGGUGGACCACAGCAGCAUGGAGACCAUUCUGCCCAUCAUGAACCAGUACUCAGAAAUUGAGACCUGUGUUGAGUGUUCUGCAAAAAACCUGAAGAAUAUCUCGGAGCUGUUCUACUAUGCCCAGAAGGCCGUGUUGCACCCUACAGGCCCCCUGUACUGCCCAGAGGAAAAGGAGAUGAAGCCUUCUUGCAUCAAAGCGCUUACUCGCAUCUUCAAAAUAUCUGACCUGGACAACGACGGCAUUCUCAAUGACCACGAGCUCAAUUUCUUCCAAAGAACCUGUUUUAACAUGCCGCUUGCUCCUCAAGCUCUGGAGGACGUGAAAAACGUUGUGCGGCGAAACAUGACCGAUGGCGUGAGGGACAAAGGCCUCACUCUUAAAGGUUUCUUGUUUCUACACACUCUCUUUAUCCAGAGAGGUAGGCAUGAAACCACGUGGACUGUGCUCCGAAGGUUCGGCUAUGACGAUGACCUGGAACUCACUCAGGAAUACCUGUUUCCGCUGUUAAAAAUACCUCCACACUGCACCACAGAGCUGAACCACAACGCGUACCUCUUCCUGCAGAGUGUCUUUGACAAGCACGACAAGGAUCGAGACUGCGCGUUGUCUCCUGAGGAGCUGAGAGAUCUGUUUAAAGUCUUCCCCUACAUGCCCUGGGGCCCUGACGUCAACAAUACAGUGUACACCAACGACCAGGGCUGGAUCACCUACCAGGGCUACCUGUCUCAGUGGACGCUAACAACGUACUUGGAUGUACAGCGCUGCUUGGAAUAUCUGGGUUACCUUGGUUACUCUAUCAUUCAUGAGCAGGACUCACAGGCUGCUGCCAUCACAAUCACCAGGAACAAGCACAUUGACCUGCAGAAGAAGCAGACCCAGCGCAGUGUGUUUCGGUGUAAUGUCCUGGGAGCACGCGGGAGUGGCAAGAGUGGCCUCCUGCAGGCCUUUCUGGGCAGGAACUUAGCUAGACAAAAGCAGAUAAGAGAAGACCACAAAUCCUACUACGCCAUCAGCACCGCAUAUGUCUAUGGACAGGAGAAGUAUUUGCUUCUGCAUGAGAUUCUCCCAGACAUUGAUUUCGUCUCGGAAGCAGAUCUGGCCUGUGAUGUUGUCUGCCUUGUGUAUGACAUCAGUAAUCCUCGCUCUUUUGAAUACUGCGCAAAGGCCUAUAAGAAAUACUUCAUGGACAGCAAGACUCCAUGUAUGAUUAUCGCCGCCAAGUCAGACCUGCACGAGGUUCGCCAGCACUACAGCACGACUCCUCUGGACUUCUGCAGGAGGCACAAGCUGCACCCGCCACAGCAGUUCACCUGUAACACAGCUGAGGCGCCCAGCAGAGACAUCUACACCAAACUCACCACCAUGGCCAUGUAUCCCCACGCCAAGCUCCGCUGCAUGUGUGCCUGCAACAGGUGCACUUUUUGCAUCAGUCAGAACCUGCUGAACAGUGAGCUCCUGCGUUCGGUCAGGGCCAAACUCUACAGUGUCAUUGUGAACAGGUGUUCAUUCAAAUGUGUUUGGCUGGGCCUAUUCCUUCUCGUGUUGCAUCACUUCACCUCAUGCUAACCCUGCCAGCAUGCCUGCUUUUAUCUGUUUCACUACCUGGACUGUAAUAGGGUUGAAUAGAUCAGGUGGAUUGGCCUUAACCUGUUACAGACACGAACUUUGUUUCACACUGUGAAGAGUACUGGGUGUAUUUUGGCAUGUAUGCGGUGGAUUAAUAGUUAAUUCCUCUCACUCUUAACACUUGUGACUUUGAUUUGUUCACAUAACUAUGUUUGUGCUUGUGAUGUAAUUUCUUCUGGCUGCUGAUUUGGUGUUUGUGUGUGUUUGGUGGCUGAUUUAUAUAAAACCCUACUGUAGAUGGCGGCAUUUCUCAGUAGUUUAUUGCCUUCCUGUUAAAGGACUGAACAUGAUUAAUGAUAUUUGGGCAUUACUUAAAGGGAGAGUUCACCUAAAAAUGAAAAUACUGUCAUCAGUUACUCCUCCUCAUGUCGUUCCAAACCCAUAAGACGUUCGUCCCUCCGUUUACAGUCCAAGUAACCAAAACUUUCAAGCUCCAAAAAGUUCAUAAAGGCAUCAUAAAAAGGAAUCCCAAUUUUAUGAAGCGAUAUGAAUACUUUGUGUGUGCAAAAAAACUAUAAUCAAGACUUUAUUCUCCAAAUAUUCAUUUCAGCAUAAAUCUCUGGCGUGCGUUCACGAGAGAGAGAGAGCCACGACACGCAUGAGUGUUGUGUUGACACGCGAUGCAGCGGGACCUGGAAGUGCUGAUUUUGACAUGGAGAUGGAGGACUUUUUUUGAGGGGGGGUCCCUCUCGUGUCAUCACAACACGCAUGCGUCGUGGUUACUUGGACUGCAAACGGAGGGACAGAAAUCUCCCAGGUUUCAUUAAAAUGUCUUCAUUUGUGUUCCGAAGAUGAACGAAAUUCUUAUGGGUUUGGAACAACAUGAGGAGUAACCGAUGACAGAAUUUUCAUUUUUGGGUGAACUCUCCCUUUAAGGCGUGGUGUACUCUGGUGUCUGUGCUUGGGUACAUGAAUGGCUAGAUGACACACUCGCCACUCUGACCAGACAUUAUCCAAACCCGUGAUCAGUCGGAGGUUCUCACUGCACAGCGAGCUUUGUGUUUCGAUUUGUCGAUCUGUUCAUUAACUCGGCCUUUUCCUCUCUGCUGUGUUUCUCUUGUGUGGAGCAUGUAGUGGUGGCUGUGUUGUGAAUGGUAGUUGAAUUGCCGUCCUGUAUGCAUGUGCAGAAGGUUGGGGCCCUUUUUUUUAACGAAAGGGACACUUGUCAUUUGGCUGAUGAGGAUCCAGCCUCAUCCAUCAGAUGCACGCAGUCAGCUGUGUAAAGGACUCAAUCUACAUGGAUGCGUCAGUCCGACCCAUUUGUGUCCAGACACAUGACCCAGGCUGAUCUGAAGAACUCUACAUUCUGGCUACGAGCCAGCGUCGGAGCCACAGUAUUCGCAGUGUUGGGCUUCGCCAUGUAUAAAGCGCUCCUCAAGCACCGGUGAUCAGUUACAGGCAGCACGCGACUGCAAUCCUCUAUCCAGCAAAAAACUUCUUCCCUCCAACCCAGUCAUUCCCCUUUAAGAGAAAGCUAGUAGUAUCAUGAUAGAUAGCUAUAUUUUAUAUAUUUGAACCUACAUGCAUCCAUGCACCCAUUUUUUUUCCCCCCCUCCUCUCUUCUGGAGUUUUGAUUUCAACCCGUUCUCUUAUAUCAAACGUCUUGUGUGUCAGCCGUGCUUGAAUACUCCAGACGGCUCUUGCCGUAGACGGACUGGUUUUAAAUGACGUUAUUUUUCCUCAGAUCAGUAUUAGAUGGUGUGAGACUGCUAUCACAGUCUACGCAGAGGCACGAGAGGAUGGAACGCUUCGUUUAUAAAAUGUAAACAUCGCUGAGGAAUACCAACAGCUUCAGUGAAAACUGGGGGGGGGGAGUACAGAACUCGUAUGCACGCACAUAACAGGAGAUGCACAGAAACGAAGCCAUUUCUCACUUGUAUAGGUCAUUUCGCUUUGAGCACGUUUCAACUGUAAUAAUUUAUUAAUGUCAUACUUGCCAGUCAGAAUAUUCUGUUUGACCUUGCAUGCAGCAGUCACUAUACAAGGGAUUUUUUAUUUUUUUUAUUUUUUAUUUUAAUUAUCUGGUUUGUUUUUAGCUUUAUGAUUUGUUUACUGGUUUGCCCUUGACCCCCACAGACACACUAAUGCAGCGAAUAAGCGAUAAGCUUCACCGCAAUGUUGACAAGAUCACAAGAAAGGGCCCAAGUGUAGAUUCUGUGGUCAGGUCAAUGGGACACGGUCUCUAUGAGAACUCUGUUGAUAGGUUCCACGUUAAAUAUUUACUAUUAUCUAUACGAAUAAAUACUAUUACUACUACUACCACUGCAUCUAUUUUGUUUGAUUAACGGCACAUUGUAUUAUUCAUUGCAAAACUCCCAGUUCAAAACCAUGACGCUGCUGUACUCAUUUCUGACCUUUCAGACAUUUACAAUAAACGGUGUGAUUAUA
RNA transcript from Ictalurus punctatus (channel catfish), 4593 nucleotides. It is a transcript of the gene named ras homolog family member T1a, with no coding region annotated. Lineage: Eukaryota; Metazoa; Chordata; Actinopteri; Siluriformes; Ictaluridae. The record is from RefSeq and is a predicted model, not a curated record. The transcript has 21 exons.